RNAcentral lists this unclassified non-coding RNA (154 nucleotides) under uncultured Albotricha. Its description in RNAcentral is "sequence contains ITS1". The record is from RNAcentral. Lineage: Eukaryota; Fungi; Ascomycota; Leotiomycetes; Helotiales; Hyaloscyphaceae.
CAGAGUUCAUGCCCUUCUGGGUAGAUCUCCACCCUUGUAAAUAUAACUGUCUGUUGCUUUGGCGGAUCGUUCCGGGCAUUAACUCGCCUGGAUAGCCGCCAGAGGACCCUUAAACUCUGAAUAUUAGUGUCGUCUGAGUACUAUAAAAUAGUUA